RNAcentral lists this ribosomal RNA (449 nucleotides) under uncultured bacterium. Its description in RNAcentral is "bacterial SSU rRNA". It matches the Rfam family "Bacterial small subunit ribosomal RNA", at positions 340 to 783 of the family's 1533-position model. The record is from RNAcentral.
UACGGAAGGCAGCAGUGGGGAAUAUUGCACAAUGGGCGCAAGCCUGAUGCAGCCAUGCCGCGUGUAUGAAGAAGGCCUUCGGGUUGUAAAGUACUUUCAGUCGUGAGGAAGGUGUUAAGGUUAAUAACCUUAGCAAUUGACGUUAGCGACAGAAGAAGCACCGGCUAACUCCGUGCCAGCAGCCGCGGUAAUACGGAGGGUGCGAGCGUUAAUCGGAAUUACUGGGCGUAAAGGGCACGCAGGCGGUUAAUAAGUUGGAUGUGAAAUCCCCGGGCUUAACCUGGGAAUGGCAUUCAAGACUGGUUAGCUAGAGUCUUGUAGAGGGGGUAGAAUUCCAUGUGUAGCGGUGAAAUGCGUAGAGAUGUGGAGGAAUACCGGUGGCGAAGGCGGCCCCUGGGACAAGACUGACGCUCAUGUGCGAAAGCGUGGGGAGCAAACGAGGAUUAGAU